Molecule: unclassified non-coding RNA, 396 nt
Filed under: uncultured fungus
Lineage: Eukaryota; Fungi
Description: partial contains small subunit ribosomal RNA, internal transcribed spacer 1, and 5.8S ribosomal RNA
Rfam family: Eukaryotic small subunit ribosomal RNA (bases 1-73)
Source: RNAcentral
UCAAACUUGGUCAUUUAGAGGAAGUAAAAGUCGUAACAAGGUUUCCGUAGGUGAACCUGCGGAAGGAUCAUUAGUGAACAAAUGGUGUGGGGGUUGUCGCUGGCCUCCUUGGAGGUAUGUGCACACCUACCACUGUUUCAUUCAUCCUCCCACCUGUGCACUCUCUGUAGGCCAAACCGUUGCAACCUCUCGGGUUCAGAUCUGAACUUGGUGUGAGGAGCAUGUCUUUCCUUUUACAGGAAAGCCUCUCCUUGUAUGCGGGGUGUGGUUCUACGUCUUUAUUAACUCCAUGUGUAUGUAACCGAAUGUCUGUUCUGGGCCUUGAAUUGGCCUAUAAAACCCUAUACAACUUUCAACAACGGAUCUCUUGGCUCUCGCAUCGAUGAAGAACGCAGC